Long non-coding RNA from Oncorhynchus gorbuscha (pink salmon), 840 nucleotides. RefSeq lists it as uncharacterized. The transcript is spliced from 2 exons. NCBI's taxonomy places the organism in Eukaryota, Metazoa, Chordata, Actinopteri, Salmoniformes, Salmonidae. The record is from RefSeq and is a predicted model, not a curated record.
GCUGUCCACAAGAAGGAGGAGAAGAAAACUGUAGAAGGCAGCAGCGAAGGAGAACGCAGAGGCUGAAGCUGCUGAGGAGAACCACUCUGAGAACGGAGAUGCCAAGACCAACCAGAUGGAGGAUGCUCCCGAGGCGGAGAAGGAGGAAGCCAAGUCUGAGUAGCAACACUGCCGAACCCUGACCCCUAACCUCCGACGCCCCCCCCCAGUGUUCGUGGUCCCCCUCCAAGGCGUAUUGUUAACAGAGGAAUAUUUUUAUCAGUGAUUUUAUAAGUAUACUAUCUACUAUCCGUACAGAUUUUUAGCACAAAGCGAAGCUGAGUAAUAUAAUGCAGAUCUGCAGUGGUCAUAUCAACAAAGUGUCUGCAGGCAAGAUGAACACACUAAAAUGUUUUUUAAUGAAACAGCAUUUGAUGAUUGUGUAAGAAGCAAAGCGCGUCCCGUCACAUAGUGAGUUGUGUUCCUGUGCCCCCCUCCUCCACAGUUGGUUCUCCUAGGGUUCUCCCUUUAGUCCUGGUUUAUUAACGGUUCUCCCUGGCGUUCCCUUGCUUUGUCUAAAUGUUCCUGUUUUUACAUGAAACAUGUUCUAAGCGUGUUAAAAGUGUGUUGUCCAAUAAGAAAGAGGAAGAGGAUCAUGAGAAACAUUCUGGACAGUGACGUGUGUGUCUCCUAGGCGACCCUGUAACAGUGACAUGCAUGUGUCUCCUAGGCGACCGCAGUAGUGUGUGACAGCUCUCCAUCUUGCUGGUUUUUUAAACACAUGUUGUUGUUUUUUAGAUGAGCGGUUCUCUGUGUCUGAUGUUCUGGAAUUCUCCAAUAAAACAAGUCCUGUGAAUUUUC